GAUGAACGCUAGCGGCAGGCUUAAUACAUGCAAGUCAAGGGGGUAGCAAUACAACCGGCGCACGGGUGAGUAACGCGUACACAACAUACCAUAUACUGGAGUAUAGCUUUGGGAAACUGAAGGUAAUCCUCCAUAACAUUGCGAGAGGGCAUCUGAUUGCAAUUAAAGUUCCGGCGGUAUAUGAUUGGUGUGCGUUUGAUUAGCUAGUUGGUAGGGUAACGGCCUACCAAGGCGACGAUCAAUAGCUGGCGUGAGAGCGCGACCAGCCACACUGGAACUGAGACACGGUCCAGACUCCUACGGGAGGCAGCAGUAGGGAAUAUUGGACAAUGGGCGAAAGCCUGAUCCAGCCAUGCCGCGUGAUAGAUGAAGGCCCUCUGGGUUGUAAAUAUCUUUUAUCUGGGAAGAAACUCCUCUAUUCUUAGAGGCCUGACGGUACCAGAGGAAUAAGCACCGGCUAACUCCGUGCCAGCAGCCGCGGUAAAGUA
This 488-nucleotide ribosomal RNA is filed under the name uncultured bacterium. RNAcentral's name for it is "bacterial SSU rRNA". It matches the Rfam family "Bacterial small subunit ribosomal RNA", at positions 28 to 527 of the family's 1533-position model. The record is from RNAcentral.